UGGGGAAUAUUGCACAAUGGGCGCAAGCCUGAUGCAGCAACGCCGCGUGAACGAUGAAGGUCUUCGGAUCGUAAAGUUCUGUUGCAGGGGAAGAUAAUGACGGUACCCUGUGAGGAAGCCCCGGCUAACUACGUGCCAGCAGCCGCGGUAAUACGUAGGGGGCUAGCGUUAUCCGGAUUUACUGGGCGUAAAGGGUGCGUAGGUGGUCUAUUAAGUCAGGUGUGAAAGCGUGAGGCUUAACCUCAUUAAGCACUUGAAACUGAUAGACUUGAGUGAAGGAGAGGAAAGUGGAAUUCCUAGUGUAGCGGUGAAAUGCGUAGAGAUUAGGAGGAAAACCGGUGGCGAAAGCGGCUUUUUGGCCUGCAACUGACACUGAGGCGCGAAAGCGUGGGGAGCAAACAGG
RNAcentral lists this ribosomal RNA (403 nucleotides) under Verrucomicrobiota bacterium. RNAcentral's name for it is "Verrucomicrobia bacterium partial 16S ribosomal RNA". It matches the Rfam family "Bacterial small subunit ribosomal RNA", at positions 355 to 776 of the family's 1533-position model. The record is from RNAcentral. Lineage: Bacteria; Pseudomonadati; Verrucomicrobiota.